Carassius auratus (goldfish) is the source of this 611-nucleotide long non-coding RNA. RefSeq lists it as uncharacterized. The transcript has 5 exons. Lineage: Eukaryota; Metazoa; Chordata; Actinopteri; Cypriniformes; Cyprinidae. The record is from RefSeq and is a predicted model, not a curated record.
CACAACCAAACGAAUACAGAUACUAAAAAGGAAAGUUCACAAAGAUUAUGAAGUUUACUGUAACAGACUGAGCAGUGAGCACUGCUGCAAACACAUGCUCAACACUCUGAGAGCAAGUGGGAGGAAUACAGAGGCAAGCUGAAGAGACAGAAGGGAGAAAGACAAGCGUUAAGGCUACCACCUUGGCUGAAAACAUGGAUCACUGAACCUACACGCAGUCUGUGAGGAGGCCUGGUGUCCCAAUAUUUUGGCAGGGAGAGUAUGCCACUGCCACAGAAACCAUCAUGCUGAUGGAGGACACAUGCGCACGUGGAUGUAGGUUUUGUUCAGUUAAAACAGUGAGACGUCCUCCACCCAGCUAAAGCCACUGCAGCUUGGGGUCUGGACUAUGUUAUACUCACAUCAGUGGACAGGGAUGGUGAGAAAACAUGAAACACCAGCAACUAAGACAUAUUAAAGGGCUCAUCCAUUUACAUUAUAGCCAUGAGUUUACCUGUUAUAAUAAUUUUGUGAGGUGAGAUUUAGUAGAAUAAACAUGGACUAAGAAGCACAAAACUUUCAUUUUGGAUUUUAUUGUGUCUUUAAAAUGUACCAUUGAACUUUAUUUUUGA